GAUGAAGAACGUAGCGAAAUGCGAUAAGUAAUGUGAAUUGCAGAAUUCAGUGAAUCAUCGAAUCUUUGAACGCACCUUGCGCUCUUUGGUAUUCCGAAGAGCAUGCCUGUUUGAGUGUCAUGAAAAUAUCAACCUUGACUUGGGUUUUGUGCUCUAGUCUCGGCUUGGAAUUGGGUGCUUGCCGCUUUUACGAGCGGCUCACCUUAAAUGUAUUAGCUGGAUCUGUCUUUGGGACUUGGUUUGACUUGGCGUAAUAAGUAUUUCGCUAAGGACAUUCUUCGGAGUGGCCUCGUUUCUAGGACGCUUGUCCGCUUUCCAAUACAAGUUCCACCUCGUGGACAUGACUUUUUAUUAUCUGGCCUCAAAUCAGGUAGGACUACCCGCUGAACUUAAGCAUAUCAAUAAGCGGAGGA
Molecule: unclassified non-coding RNA, 413 nt
Filed under: soil metagenome
Description: partial contains 5.8S ribosomal RNA, internal transcribed spacer 2, and large subunit ribosomal RNA
Rfam family: 5.8S ribosomal RNA (bases 1-120)
Source: RNAcentral